Lytechinus pictus (painted urchin) is the source of this 2876-nucleotide long non-coding RNA. RefSeq lists it as uncharacterized. Lineage: Eukaryota; Metazoa; Echinodermata; Echinoidea; Temnopleuroida; Toxopneustidae. The transcript is spliced from 3 exons. The record is from RefSeq and is a predicted model, not a curated record.
CGCGCGCACGUACGCAUGUAACCGCCAAUUGCAAUAUUUGAAAAAAGAACCCGAUCAACCACUGUCUUGCUGUUCAGAAGUCCGUCUAUAAUUCAUCAUAAACUAAAGGAACACAGGUCAGAUUCGGACAACGACUUCAAAUUCAUUCGCAGAAUACGCUAAACAAUUGGACGACGGAUACACUGGAUGAUAAUGUAGAUGGUCCAGGAUUAUCUGGGAAGGAAACUACAGGUGUUGAACACAGAAAACCGUUUACAAGAAAACAACUGGAGUUUGUGAAAGCUGCAAGAAAUUAAUCUUGCCGGGUACGCAUUCAGUUCACCUUGGUCGAGUGCAGCACAGUGGAUAAAUGUGUUGCUGAAGGAAAACACCAUUGCUAGGAUUCAAACCCACGACACUCUGUUGAAAGGUGAGAGUCAGAACCACUAGACCACGACGCACCCACAGUUAACAAGCUGUCAUACCCCCACUUGUUCUUUUGUAUUUUAUAACAAGAAGUCAUGUUUAUUCACAUUUUGACCUCCAAGAACUAAAAAGUGGAGUGAAGAUUUAUUUAAUGUAAACACAUGCAUUGCUUGAAAUCAUUUUAUGCUACGUGGGACAUAUCAUACACACGUGUACGAAAAUAUGAAAUUAUUAUGAUUUCAUUUUAUAACAUAAGCCUAACACAUAUUCCUGACGACCAUGUGCACAUUCCAGUAAUUUUUCCCAAAAUGUUGCUAAACCUUCAAAUCAAAGACUUUGUUAUCAGAUUUUAACGAAAUUGUCAACAUUAUGCUUUUCUGAUUAAUUCUCUUCCUACCUAAAUCUCCCCUUUCCUCAUGCUUUCUUUCUAUGGUCCCCUUCAUUCUCCUUAUAACUAUGUUAUAUGUAAAAUGUAACCGGUCGUCUAACCGAUUUGAUUGAAGGGUUAGGUACUCUACUCUAGGUACUCACAUUUAAAAGUUAUGUGAUUCAAACACAAAGUGUACAUCAGACAAACAAAAAACACUGAAAAUUUCAUCAAAAUUGAAUGAGGAUUAACGAAAUUAUGACGAAUUAAAGUUGUUAUUUUUUGGUAAAACUGUUCUCUGCAAGUCCUCAUGAAUAUACAAGAUCCCAAUUUAUAUAUUUUUUUGUAUUAUAUGAAUUCAAAUUUUGUCCAAGCUACAAUGUAGGUUGUAAAAAAUUACGAUUGACUACUGAUAUACUGUGUAAGACAAAAAUUAUAUUUUUUCUCACACAUAGUUGAGUUAUUCAUCUGAUUCAACACAACAAAAAUAGACAACAAAGAAAUAAGUGGGAAUCUUGUAUAUUUGAACUAUGGGAAAUAGUUAAAAAAUAGAUGUGCUACUAAGAAUUAUUUUCUAUAUGAUUUGCAAAAUAUUUUAAAAAGAUGUCGCUAUUUUUCUUUUUUUUUUUUCUAUUUUCAUGAUAUAUUCUUUAUUAUUCUAUAUAUUCUAUUUUUGAUAUAGAUAUUAUUUAUUUCUUUAUGUAUCUUUAAUGUAUUUAUGAUAAACUUUUGGCAUGUUUCUACAGAAAAUCAUUAAAAACGAUUUAUCUUUUCCGGACUCGAAAAACCUUAUCGCCCUUAAACCAACCUGCUUCUACAAACCGAAUAAUCUGAUUAACUCACUUUUCGCGUUGCAAAUACGGCGGAAAUCGGAAAAUUCAACCUAUAACCUCACGUUGCAUUGUACAUAUGUCAAAAAUUGCAUCUUCUUAGGAAAAUUUUCAAAAUUUGUGGUAGAUCUCACUCAAUGUAGCAGGUAUACGUGUUGCACGAUCAGCUGGCGAGAUCGAAAAGGCCAGAAUGUGCAAAUUUAUGUACUGCGAAAUUGCACUUCCGGGAUUAAGCACUUCCGCCAGACACGAUACGCUAUUUUGCCGUGUGUUUUUACAGAAAAGUUAAACGGAUUAACAUGGCAAUAACCACCUCUCAGAGAUGGUUAUGAGAAACCAUAUUUUGCUUGAAGCAGUUUAUCAAUAAACCGCAUCGCGUCUGUUUCUACAAAAUUCUACAGGAAAGUUUUCCGGGAUUCUGGAUACUUACGCGGGUAAUACCUUUUAACGAUUCUAUGUAGAAACACGCCGUUUGAUAUAUCUUUUAGGUGAAAAGAAAAUAGAGAAAUAUUAGGAGGUUCUAUUUUUAUGGGGGUACUAUUUUCCCCCCUUUUGGGGAUAUUUAUUUCCUCUAAGUUUGGUACUCUUUACCUUUAAUCAUUUGGCCAUGUGAAGGCUAUCACACAUUUUGAGUUUAAUCUUCGAAAUUUGGUGUUCAUCAGUUUGUUGUCCAAACUCUGUCUUACAUUUAGAUUUGUUUAUAGGAAGAUUAACAUAAUAUCUAUGUGGAGUGCAAUCAUUGACCUCUUGUAGAGUCGUGCAGUCACAUGUAUUCAUAAUGCUGGUGCUUUUAUGCCAUACAUGUACUUGUCAAUACUGGGUUCCACUCUUUUGUACUUGAACUUAUUAGUAAAAAAAAUAUUUUAUUAAUGUCAUUGAAGUAGCUGUGUGAAAGCAAUUACACACAACAGAUUUAAAAUCAAGGUUAUUGUAUUAACCUUGUAUCAGUAUCAGGUAUCAGGUAUCAAGUAUCGGGUUUGUUUGCAGAACAGUGGUUUUGCCAAGUACUCAAUCCACGUAAAAAGCCAUCAGAGAGAACAUGUUUAUUCUUGGAAAUUGUAUUAAUUUGUUGUGUUUUUCAAUUAAACUCUGUCUUGAUACAUGUUUAUUUUAGAUACCAAGAUUGACAGAGUAUAGAUGUCAACGAGGAGCAAAGUCAUAUAUAUUCAUAACUUAUGUGCUUUAAUUAUAAAGUCUAUACUUGUGAAUACUGUGUUCCAUUUAUGCUGUACUUAAACUUCUUAUAGUAAAAACAUUUGACGUUCUUGAAAUAA